This 662-nucleotide ribosomal RNA is filed under the name uncultured bacterium. RNAcentral's name for it is "bacterial SSU rRNA". It matches the Rfam family "Bacterial small subunit ribosomal RNA", at positions 160 to 809 of the family's 1533-position model. The record is from RNAcentral.
GUGCUAAUACCGCAUAACCAUAGUUACCGCAUGGUAACUAUGUAAAAGGUGGCUAUGCUACCGCUUUUGGAUGGGCCCGCGACGCAUUAGCUAGUUGGUGGGGUAAAGGCUUACCAAGGCAAUGAUGCGUAGCCGAACUGAGAGGUUGAUCGGCCACAUUGGGACUGAGACACGGCCCAAACUCCUACGGGAGGCAGCAGUAGGGAAUCUUCCACAAUGGGCGAAAGCCUGAUGGAGCAACGCCGCGUGGGUGAAGAAGGUCUUCGGAUCGUAAAACCCUGUUGUUAGAGAAGAAAGUGCGUGAGAGUAACUGUUCACGUUUCGACGGUAUCUAACCAGAAAGCCACGGCUAACUACGUGCCAACAGCCGCGGUAAUACGUAGGUGGCAAGCGUUAUCCGGAUUUAUUGGGCGUAAAGAGAACGCAGGCGGUCUUUUAAGUCUGAUGUGAAAGCCUUCGGCUUAACCGGAGUAGUGCAUUGGAAACUGGGAGACUUGAGUGCAGAAGAGGAGAGUGGAACUCCAUGUGUAGCGGUGAAAUGCGUAGAUAUAUGGAAGAACACCAGUGGCGAAAGCGGCUCUCUGGUCUGUAACUGACGCUGAGGUUCGAAAGCGUGGGUAGCAAACAGGAUUAGAUACCCUGGUAGUCCACGCCGUAAACGA